GACGAACGCUGGCGGCGUGCCUAACACAUGCAAGUCGAGCGGGGUAGCCGGAAGGUGUAGCGAUACAGCGGAGGGGUACCUAGCGGCGAACGGGUGAGUAACGCGUGGGCAAUCUGCCCCCGGGGGCGGGAUAACAGACCGAAAGGCCUGCUAAUACCGCAUGAAGCCGUCCUAUCGCAUGAUAAGACGGUAAAAGGGGAAACCCGCCUGGGGAGGAGCCCGCGUCCCAUUAGCUAGUUGGUGGUGUAAAGGACCACCAAGGCGAUGAUGGGUAGCCGGCCUGAGAGGGUGAACGGCCACAUUGGGACUGAGACACGGCCCAGACUCCUACGGGGGCGAGCAGUGAGGGAUUUUCGGUCAAUGGGCGAAAGCCUGACCGAGCGACGCCGCGUGAGCGAAGAAGGCCUUCGGUCGUAAGACGUCUGUCUAGGGGUAAGGAGUAAGGACGGUACCGUCUGGAGGAAGACCACGGCGUAACUACGUGCCAGCAGCCGCGGUAAACGGUAAGCGUG
Molecule: ribosomal RNA, 512 nt
Filed under: uncultured bacterium
Lineage: Bacteria
Description: bacterial SSU rRNA
Rfam family: Bacterial small subunit ribosomal RNA
Source: RNAcentral